RNAcentral lists this ribosomal RNA (460 nucleotides) under uncultured bacterium. RNAcentral describes it as "partial 16S ribosomal RNA". It matches the Rfam family "Bacterial small subunit ribosomal RNA", at positions 338 to 795 of the family's 1533-position model. The record is from RNAcentral.
CCUACGGGAGGCUGCAGUGAGGAAUAUUGGUCAAUGGGCGGAAGCCUGAACCAGCCAAGUAGCGUGCAGGAUGACGGCCCUACGGGUUGUAAACUGCUUUUAUACGGGAAUAACGCGCCUUACGUGUAGGGCUUUGCAUGUACCGUAUGAAUAAGGACCGGCUAAUUCCGUGCCAGCAGCCGCGGUAAUACGGAAGGUCCGGGCGUUAUCCGGAUUUAUUGGGUUUAAAGGGAGCGUAGGCCGCAUGUCAAGCGUGCUGUGAAAUGUACGGGCUCAACCCGCGCCUAGCCGUGCGAACUGGUGUGCUGGAGUGAGCGGGAAGCAGGCGGAAUUCGUGGUGUAGCGGUGAAAUGCAUAGAUAUGACGAAGAACCCCGAUUGCGAAGGCAGCAUGCCGGCGCGGAACUGACGCUCAUGCACGAAAGCGUGGGUAUCGAACAGGAUUAGAUACCCUGGUAGUC